GUUGGGGUGGCAGAGCUCGGUAACUGCAAAAGGCCUAAGCCCUUUACCACAGGGGUUCAAAUCCUCUCCUCAACU
Molecule: transfer RNA, 75 nt
Filed under: Polydactylus sextarius (blackspot threadfin)
Lineage: Eukaryota; Metazoa; Chordata; Actinopteri; Polynemidae
Also listed under: 2 other names
Description: tRNA-Leu
Rfam family: tRNA
About the family: Transfer RNA (tRNA) molecules are approximately 80 nucleotides in length.
Source: RNAcentral